Molecule: ribosomal RNA, 469 nt
Filed under: uncultured bacterium
Lineage: Bacteria
Description: partial 16S ribosomal RNA
Rfam family: Bacterial small subunit ribosomal RNA
Source: RNAcentral
GACGAACGCUGGCGGCGUGCUUAACACAUGCAAGUCGAACGAGGUCCAUGCAGUCGCAAGACUGCGGAAGAUCUAGUGGCGAACGGGUGCGUAACACGUGAGAAACCUGUCCCGGUCUCUGGAAUAACAAGUGGAAACACUUGCUAAUACCGGAUGCCGUCGGACCAUCGCAUGAUGGACUGACGAAAGGGCUACCGGAUCGGGAGGGUCUCGCGGCCUAUCAGCUUGUUGGUGAGGUAACGGCUCACCAAGGCAUCGACGGGUAGCUGGUCUGAGAGGAUGAUCAGCCACACUGGGACUGAGACACGGCCCAGACUCCUACGGGAGGCAGCAGUGGGGAAUCUUGCACAAUGGGCGAAAGCCUGAUGCAGCAACGCCGCGUGCGGGAAGAAGGCCCUAGGGUUGUAAACCGCUUUCAGCAGGGAAGAAACUGACGGUACCUGUAGAAGAAGGUGCGGCCAACUACGUG